UUUAUGAAUUAUAUAAGGUUAAACCUGCCCUAUGAUAUUUAAAUGGCCGCAGUACUUUGACUGUGCUAAGGUAGCAUAAUAAAUUGACUUUUAAUUGGGGCCUUGAAUGAAAGGUAAUAUGGGUAAUUACUGUCUUAAUUUUAUUUAUAAAAAUUUUCUUAAAAGGUGAAAAUUCCUUUAAAGUGAUUUAAAAGACGAGAAGACCCUAGGAGUUUUAUAUUAAAUAUAUUUUGUUGGGGCGACACUACAACAUAUAAACUUGUAGUAAUAUUAAAGUAAAUAAAACGAAUAUUUUUAAUUACAUUUGAGCUACCCUAGGGAUAACAGCAUAAUUUAAUUUUAAGUUUGUGACCUCGAUGUUGGACUAGGGACUUUUAGUAUUAACAAUAUUAAAAUUUUGUUCUGUUCGAACAGUUAUUUCCUACA
This 426-nucleotide ribosomal RNA is filed under the name Malacolimax tenellus. RNAcentral describes it as "partial large subunit ribosomal RNA". It matches the Rfam family "Bacterial large subunit ribosomal RNA", at positions 1835 to 2600 of the family's 2925-position model. The record is from RNAcentral. Lineage: Eukaryota; Metazoa; Mollusca; Gastropoda; Stylommatophora; Limacidae.